Molecule: ribosomal RNA, 397 nt
Filed under: uncultured bacterium
Lineage: Bacteria
Description: partial 16S ribosomal RNA
Rfam family: Bacterial small subunit ribosomal RNA
Source: RNAcentral
AUACGUAGGGGGCGAGCGUUGUCCGGAAUGAUUGGGCGUAAAGGGCGCGUAGGCGGCGCGGUAAGUCUGGAGUGAAAGUCCUGUUUUCAAGAUGGGAAUUGCUUUGGAUACUGAUGGGCUUGAGUGCAGGAGAGGUUAUCGGAAUUCCCGGUGUAGCGGUGAAAUGCGUAGAGAUCGGGAGGAACACCAGUGGCGAAGGCGGGUAACUGGACUGCAACUGACGCUGAGGCGCGAAAGUGUGGGGAGCAAACAGGAUUAGAUACCCUGGUGGUCCACACUGUAAACGAUGAAUGCUAGGUGUAAGAGGUAUCGACCCCUUUUGUGCCGGAGUUAACACAAUAAGUAUUCCGCCUGGGGAGUACGGCCGCAAGGUUGAAACUCAAAUGAAUUGACGGGG